GGGGGUUCUCGGGUGACACCCCAGAAUCCUGCUCCCUCCUCUCUGGUUCCAGGUGCAUCACCCAAGAACCGCA
Molecule: non-coding RNA, 73 nt
Organism: Myotis brandtii (Brandt's bat)
Lineage: Eukaryota; Metazoa; Chordata; Mammalia; Chiroptera; Vespertilionidae
Source: Rfam